This 683-nucleotide transfer RNA is filed under the name uncultured cyanobacterium. RNAcentral describes it as "partial miscellaneous RNA". The stretch from base 234 to 306 matches the Rfam family "tRNA". Lineage: Bacteria; Bacillati; Cyanobacteriota. The record is from RNAcentral.
CAGGGAGACAAAAACUGGUCAUUAUGUCUGAGUAAAAUAUUCUUAGGCAAUGAUCCUGUCACCUUAGGUCGAUCGGUACAUCAAACUAAUUUUGGUUAGUUUUAGUUCCUAAACUUUGUCUAGGUCACACCCCAUAAAGGGUUACUCCUGGGCCAUUAGCUCAGGUGGUUAGAGCGCACCCCUGAUAAGGGUGAGGUCCCUGGUUCAAGUCCAGGAUGGCCCAUUCGGUGUUUGGGGGUUUAGCUCAGUUGGUAGAGCGCCUGCUUUGCAAGCAGGAUGUCAGCGGUUCGAGUCCGCUAACCUCCACUGACCGACCUCCUGCAGCGACUUGAUUUCGAGGGCCUUUUUUGAGAUGUGAUUUAGAUUUAUUUAGCUGACGGAACCUAGCUUCCUAUCAUUCCAAACUUAUACACUUAAGUUGAGGUUGAAAGGAUGCUGGGCUCACUGUGAUUCGAAAGGAUUACAGCGACGUUCGGCAGGACCUUGACAACUGCAUAGUGAGUCUGGAAAGAAUAAAGCAUCUCAUGGAGAAAUUAUUCUUAAGGACAGAGAUUUAUUCAUAACCUUUUAAAGGUUUAUAUGAAUAUUUUUCUUUCUUUUGAGUGAUAUCAAUUUUUGAGUUAAGAGCAUAAACCUUAUAUCUUUACUUAAUUAACUUAAGAUUAAAGAUAUAGGGUCAAUUU